ACCCGUCUGAUAGCGCUU
Molecule: small nuclear RNA, 18 nt
Filed under: Arabidopsis thaliana (thale cress)
Lineage: Eukaryota; Viridiplantae; Streptophyta; Magnoliopsida; Brassicales; Brassicaceae
Description: snRNA_16227
Source: RNAcentral